UGAGAACACAUUGCAUCACAGACUGACCACGCAGAGGGGCCCAGACGCCGCGCGCCUCCUGGACAGUGCUGACGUCAAUUCGUAGGGGCGCGUGGCCCUGCAUACCCCCAGAUCAGCACAAUUCUCCCACACGCUUAUGGCCUGGGAUUCAUGCUUGAUCAUCUCCAAUUCCAAGUGCGUAUUUUUAAACUUUUGAAAACGACGUGUGUUCACGCAAGCACUCUCCACAAAGGUCAAAAGCAGGCGGGAGCCAUGGAGCCCUCAUUGGAGGGGCCUGCCCUCUUGGAACCUCUCCCAGUGGGAGCCUUGGAGAUGCAAGGAGCACAGCCCCGACCCAGAUUUUUCUGGCAUUUUCUGACUUUCUCCUCUCAUUCUCCCUAAUAGAGUUAAUAAUAAUAAUAGCACAGCAUUUUAAAGCACUCCAGAUUUUUAAAAGCUGUCAUGAAUAUUAUCUCCUCGAAUGGCAAUUGCUUAUUUAUGUACUUGUAUCAGAAGUAAGAUUCUGAACUCCUUAAGAGCACACACUGUGACUUUUCUGUGUCUUGCUAACCCCAGCGCCUCUCUAGCAGAUGCAGGGCUCACACUGGGGGGCUCGCUACCCAUUUCUUGAAAGCACAACUGGAUGAGUGAACAUUAUCAUCCUCGUCUUAACCAUAAGAUGUCCAAAAAUCAGAGAAGCCAUGUGCCCUAAAACACACUUUUCAUAAGUUACAGAGUCUUAAACCCAGGUUUCCGAUCUCAACAUUACCAGAGACAACAACAGAGAAGGUAAAUCCUACCUAAGUGAGAUAAGCAGAAAGAAAGCCGAAUGUUGCCCCUCGGAGUACAGCCUUGAGAGAGCUGCCAGGAUACAGAAAGGGGACAAGCGGAGAUGGUCAUACCCGCUAAUGCCAAUUCCAUUCCCGAGCGCCUAGAUGCAAUUUUUCCUAGGAAGGCACUCCAUGUGUCCGGAUGGCUGCACGUCUAGGAAAAGAUGUGUUGCACCCCGUGCCACCUCAUGCAGGGUCUGAGGCCAAGCUAGCCAGGUCUCAAGAUCUGAGGUGAGAGGGCUGGAGAUGGAAUCCUGCUCAGUCACUUAUAAAUGAUGUCACCUUGGGCACUGUACAUCUCCACAACUUCUCUGUAAACUGGGGACAAUGAUACGGCUUACUUCAUGGGGAUGUCAUGAGGAUUAAAUGAGUUCAUGCAUUUUUAAUUAAUGCUUAUGACAAUGAUAGGUACAUGGUCAUUGGGUAGGAAACAACAGCUGUUGUUAUUCCUUCAUGGUGCUGUUCCCCACUGUUUCAUCAUCGAGGCCAGCCAGCACCUUUGCAUCACUCAAAAGAAUGUUCCAAAGGCUUCCUAACAUCUAGUUAGGCCUGACUACCACCCCACCUUUUUCGGAAGCAUCCUCUUUCUAAACCCUUCCGAAAAUUUUCAUCUUAUCAUGGAUCUCACUUGCCUAAACACCCACAACAUCUCUAUCACCUGUGGGAUGCUGCCCAAACCGUAUCAUAUGACCCUCAAGACCUUUCCCCAUCCAACCCCAGCCUCCAUUCAAGCUACACUACCCCCCCACCCCCCAUGUUUUUGCACAUUCUACUUCCUUGACCCUUGAACACGGCCUAUGGAAAAUCAAGGAUGUGUGAUGUUCACCUAUCCAUGCAUCUGCACAGAACUAUGAAAACACUCUAGGUGAUUUUUUUUUACAUUCAUCUAAUUAAUUUCAUAAAAUAACUGAUGCUGAAUAAUGUCACAGUUAAGAGCCUGGGCUUUGGUAGCAGGCAGAUUAGAGUUUCAAUCUCAACUCUGACACUUAUUAGCUCUGUGACCUUGGACACAUUUAUUAACCUCUCUGAAGCUGUAUUUCUUCUUUGGUGAAAUGCAGCCAUUGUCUGUUUUACAGCAUAUUGUAAGAAUUAAAGGGGAUGAUAUAUUCAAAGUAUUUCUCACAGUGCUUGGUGCUCCCAAAAAUGGCAGCUGAAACUAAAAGCUUCCAGUGUACAUCAACAGUAAAAAGGCUCAUGGUGAUAAUUGGGCCACUUGUUGGGAGUCCUGGAGCCUACUUGCAUAUCCAACUAAGCCCCCUAAUGUGUAAGCCCCCGGCAAGAACCACAAGGCCUGCUCUGGAAAAGCCAGUGAGCAUAUGCUCUGAGACAGCUUUAAAUCAGCACAAAGCACGCAGCAACCCGCACAUAUUCCCCCGGCCCAUUCUCAACCAAGGAAAGCAGAGAAAACAAUGGUCACCAUCCUUCCCUACUCUCUUCACAGAAAUGAUUAUCAACUUGAGCAAAUAAAAGAGUGGUCAUUCUAGGUCUACUCCAUGGCCUGAGCAGAGCCUCUCCAGUGGCUCAGCAAUCAUGGCAAAUGAAGGGUAGAUCCCUGAUAUGACAAGUCUAGUCUUUGCCGGUGGCCUACUCUCAGCCUGACCUAGAGCAAAGAUCCAGCAGUGGUCACCAAAGAGGCUCCAGGUCACACUUAACAUCCUGUUCUUGAUGACCCACAGGCUUUGCUCCAUGGCCCAACAGUCUUCAGCUGACCAGAGCACAAAUGCAUAUUUGACUAAUUCCCAUGCCUGGUCGUGCAUUAACACACAUAACUCCAGCCUACUUAAGAGGGACCGACGUGUAGAUGUGCGGACAGGAAUGCAUGACAUCGUCACCUUCCUCCUGAGAGCUACAGGCUGAAAAGUGAUCCCUUUUUAUCAGGCAGCUUAAUAAAAUAAGAUGCUAACUUGACAAGGGUGUGUGAGUGCGUGCACACGCAUGCGUGUGCACCCACGUGCACGUGUGCCCGUGGAUGUGCAGGCGUGAAUGUGUGCAUGUGUGUAUGUCACAGAAAGAGCAAGAACGAGGAAGAGGUUCAUCUGCAUCCAAAAAUUCUUAAUUGAUUAUCUAACAUGGCAUGUUGGCUCAGGUAAUUUAGGAAAUUGAAAUUAUAUGUUUGUACAGAGAUAAUCUACUCUUAAAAAUAUCUGGCAUGGUAGGAGGAACACUGAUGAACGGUUUAAAAACUUGCUUCGUGCAGGCUUAAUAUGGGGCUAAUUCAGAAUUACAGUUGGAGAGUUAUGGGACUCAACAUAAAAUGUACCAGUUCACUGAGCACUGUAGCGAUCAAGAAAACACACAUAAAAAUUCCGAUAAGAAUGGAAUGUGAGGCAAAAGCACAAUUUCCUCCCAAUCUGGAAUAUCAGCAGGAUUUGCGCUUGUUGUUUGUGGUUUUCUGGGGUGGAUGGUACAUUACAGUGCAGCAUCAACACUAAUGCUACAUGGCAGCUCCUCGGAAUCCCAUCUGCUUCCCCGGGAACUGUUAAUAUAGUUGUAAUUAUCUACUUCUAAGCACUUUAUUGGGAAUAUCAUUUGCAAAUUAAUCAACUACAGACCGGUAAAACAAAUGACAUGCUCCCCCGAAAACAACAGCAUUCUUGCACAUUAUUUUUCUAAGGAUUUCGGGAAGCUGGAGUGGGCGGAGGGGGUUUUACGCCUUUUACAACCUUGCCCUGUGUAUAAAAGUUGAGUGGGAAGAGUUACAGAAGAGGGUUUUUCUAAAAGGCCUCCGGAGGAUUUUAGCAACAGAGAGGAGGAGGAGGAGAGCAUAAAAACCUAAGGGAUGGGUAGUAGUUCCACGUGAGAGGCGAGAGGGGGAAGGCGGGCCCCGAAUGACAGGUGCGCGGCGGUCAAGACCAAGGUCCCCGGGCUCCUCUGCAAGUGCUCCCUGGACGGGGGGCUGCUGCUCCUGGACCUCGCCCUCCAAGCCCUGCAGGCUGCCUGCGGUGCAUGCAGAGGCCCCGUCCCUGGGCCACAGAACAGGAAGCAAGAGCGCUAAGGGCAGUGGGUGCGAGCAACAGAAAAAUACUCCCAAAUUCACCUGCCGUAAUUGAAAUCCUCACCCCAAAGAAGGUAAAGUUUUGAAAGCAGAAAAGCCAAGCGAUCCCUGGGAGCAAAGAGGGGAAAAGGCAAACCAGCUACAGGACAGAAAUCACACCCGAGAGUCAGGUCCUCGGUGGUUACGCACGCAUCAGGUGCGCCGCCCCUCGCUCCCUGGGAGCGUGUACCUGAACGGCUCUGGACCCUGAGCCUCCCAGUCUGCGGUUUCACACCAAAGGUCCAGUGGGAAAAAAAGAACCCCAGUCAUUAGAGAGCUCUAAGUGCACCUUUUGAUGGCAGCAAAUCUGAGAGCUCAGGGCUAAGGAAAUACCCCCCUGGCUCUCCCCUCCCCAGACCACUGGCUCUAGGCCGGGGGAGACAGGGGGUCAGUCUCCCCAGGAUAUGUCCAGGCUGUAAGUAGACAAAUGCCUUCAGACCCACCAGCAUGUUGUCCGCUCAUAUGUCACGUGGCAACAGAGAGCUGCACACAGAGAGAACGGUUUGUGCACACUUGCGUGGAACGUGGAGAAUGCUAGGACCGGAUGGGCUUGGGAAGACCCAAGCUGAAUUUCACCAACAGAAGUAAUGCUUUGCUGGCCUGCGUGAAAUGACUGUUAGAACUCACUAGGGUCCUUCUCGAGAGAGGAAAAGCAAAGUGUUUGGAAUCAGACGAUGCUACUAGUGAAUCUUGCCUUUGCUAAUGACCAGUUGACCUCGCUGUACUUGAGUCCACUUUUUCAUCAACGGGGGUUUGAUACCCUCUGAUAGGGAUUUACAGGCAACUGGAAGACGAUGCUGCACUUAUUACAGACAGAAAAAGGAGACGUACAUAAACAAGUUUUCAAACAAACUUAGGUUUGGCAGGGAAGACAUGGGAGGGAAAAUGAGAUAAUGCCACGUGAAAGCCCAUGCUUCUCCUCCCUCCUGUAGCCUGUAGUGGGGAAGUAUCCACUUUGAAUUAAAACAAGAAACGUUUAGUGAGCACUUACUGUGCUAAGCAGAUUGAUUAUCAUACAUUGGGAUAUGUGGGUGAGAAUGUACUUUCCGUGAAAAAGGGCAAAGCCUAUGUCUUCGUCCUUGUAGCCCGUCUCAGGCUAGAAAUAAGGUGAGAGAAGCAUAUAUCCUAGACAUGGGGAUGGGUGCUGGGGAUGGGUGCAACUCAAUCAACUUUUUCCU
Molecule: long non-coding RNA, 5021 nt
Filed under: Canis lupus familiaris (dog)
Lineage: Eukaryota; Metazoa; Chordata; Mammalia; Carnivora; Canidae
Description: lncRNA (ENSCAFG00845008018.1)
Source: RNAcentral